This 463-nucleotide ribosomal RNA is filed under the name uncultured bacterium. Its description in RNAcentral is "partial 16S ribosomal RNA". It matches the Rfam family "Bacterial small subunit ribosomal RNA", at positions 28 to 507 of the family's 1533-position model. The record is from RNAcentral.
GACGAACGCUGGCGGCGUGCUUAACACAUGCAAGUCGAGCGGAAAGGCCACUUCGGUGGUACUCGAGCGGCGAACGGGUGAGUAACACGUGAGUAAUCUGCCCCUCACUUUGGGAUAGCCACCGGAAACGGUGAUUAAUACCGGAUAUGACCAUAUGUCGCAUGGCGUGUGGUGGAAAGUUUUUCGGUGAGGGAUGUGCUCGCGGCCUAUCAGCUUGAUGGUGAGGUAAUGGCUCACCAUGGCUUCGACGGGUAGCCGGCCUGAGAGGGUGACCGGUCACACUGGGACUGAGACACGGCCCAGAGUCCUACGGGAGGCAGCAGUGGGGAAUAUUGGACAAUGGGCGGAAGCCUGAUCCAGCAACGCCGCGUGAGGGAUGACGGCCUUCGGGUUGUAAACCUCUUUCAGUACCGACGAAGCGCAAGUGACGGUAGGUACAGAAGAAGCACCGGCCAACUACGUG